RNAcentral lists this long non-coding RNA (1116 nucleotides) under Melopsittacus undulatus (budgerigar). RNAcentral describes it as "lncRNA (ENSMUNG00000020713.1)". The record is from RNAcentral. Lineage: Eukaryota; Metazoa; Chordata; Aves; Psittaciformes; Psittaculidae.
AUGGGGGCAUCAAUGGAGACAUCAAUGGGGGUAUCAAUGGGGCAUCAAUGGUGGCAUCAAUGGGGUUAUCAAUGGGACAUUAAUGGGGGUAUCAAUGGAGCACCAAUGUGGACAUCAAUGGGGGUAUCAAUAGGGCAUCAAUGCGGCAUCAAUGGGGACACCAAUGGGGCACCAACUGGGGCACCAAUGGGCAUCAAUGGGGUAUCAAUGGCGUCCCCAUGGCAAGGGCCUCACCUCCUCCUGCAGCCCAUCCGCGUGCGACCGGAGGCUGCUCUGCUCCUUCUCCUGCACCAAUGGGGACAUUGGGUGGGGGGUGGGUCCAUGGGUGCCCCCCCCAGGUGCCACUGCCCCCAAUGGGUGCCCCCAGGGCCCACCAGGGUCCUCAUCCUGCGCCGCAGCUCCAGGUUCUGCUCCUCCAGCCCCUUCACCGCAGCCUUGGUGUCCUCCAGCUCCUCAGUGGCCGCGCGCGCUCGCUCCAGUGCCUGCUGGGUGCUAUGGGGCAUGGGGGGGCUCAGCACCAUGGGGUGUCCAUCACCAUGGGGUGCCCAUCACCAUGGGGUGCUCAGCACCAUGGGGUGUCCAUCACCAUGGGGUGUCCAUCCCCAUGGGGUGCUCAGCACCAUGGGGUGUCCAUCACCAUGGGGUGUCCAUCACCAUGGGGUGCUCAACACCAUGGGGUGUCCAUCACCAUGGGGUGUCCAUCACCAUGGGGUGUCCGUCACCAUGGGGUGUCCAUCACCAUGGGGUGCUCAGCACAAUGGGGUGUCCAUCACCAUGGGGUGUCCAUCACCAUGGGGUGCUCAGCACCAUGGGGUGUCCAUCACCAUGGGGUGUCCAUCACCAUGGGGUGCUCAGCACAGUGGGGUGUCCAUCACCAGUGGUAUAUUAUGGGAUGCCCACCCCCAUUGUGUUAGUAUGGGAUGCCCACCCCCAGUGGGUUAUUAUGGGAUGUCCAUCCCCAUUGGGUUAGUAUGGGAUGCCCACCCCAGUGGGUUAUUAUGGGAUGUCCCAGGCCCUCACCUGCGCAGCUGCCCCCGGAGCUCCUGCAGCUCCUCCCCCAGGCGCGAGUUCUGCUCCUCGCUGGCCUCGGCCUCGCGCUGCAGCCGCUGGUUGUAG